GUGUAGGGGUCUGAAUGCUUAUACACAUGUAUAUAUCCCUGACUCAGCCCAUCAUCUAUUCCUCCCAUCUCCCUUAUUCACACGUUCAUUUGGUUACUCAGCCAUUCACCUACCAUCUGACUGCACAAAGAUAAAUCUCUGUUCUCUCCGUCCCCCAAUGUCGUCCAUCACCAAGUCCUAGCCAUUGACCUAAAUGUCUCUCGGUCCAUCUGCUUCUUUACUUUGCACCCCUCCCCCUAACUCCGUGCUCCUGUCCUCCUGCUAGAUGACCGCACGCCUUCCCUUGUCCUCCCUGAUCCGCUCUGGCCCCUCACCAGUCCUUUUUCCAGGAGCCAACCAGAGUGGCUUUUAAAAGCAACUCAUGUCACUCCUUGUGUAGCUCCCCAUUGCCCUUAGGGACCAAGUCGAAACUCUUCCUCCAGACCAGCAAGGCCCUGUGUGGUUUGUCCCUGCCCGCUUCUCCAUCCUCGCUUCAUAAUAGGAACCCAUCCUCUCCCUCUGCUUCUAAAGAUACCUUCUAUCCAAAUACACGGGGCUUCCUUCUGAAAGUAAGCUUGGAAAGCCUUCAAUGCCGUGCCCCCUAGUAAACACAGCUCAAUGAACGUCCCAGGCGCUGGCCGUUCCUAUUGCUCCUCCCCCUCGUGGAAGAAAGAAGAAGAAGAAAGGGUGUAAGUGUUCACUCCCCCUUCCCCUUCCUGCUUCCCCAGCGGGGAGGAACACGAGAGCCCCUCUUCUCUGAAAGUGGGGACAGGUGGCAGGGCUUCCUGCAAAGGCUGAGAUGAGAAUACUCAUACACUCAGACUCAGAAACCCGAGUUAAGUGAGAAACUGACUAAGUCUGGCUUUCUAAGAAUUAGGAUAGUAGUACCUAUUUCCAAAUGCGUGCUGUGCAAGUGGCUUUUUAAAAAAACCCCAAAAAAACCA
This is a long non-coding RNA of Pipistrellus kuhlii (Kuhl's pipistrelle), 923 nucleotides long. RefSeq lists it as uncharacterized. The record is from RefSeq and is a predicted model, not a curated record. NCBI's taxonomy places the organism in Eukaryota, Metazoa, Chordata, Mammalia, Chiroptera, Vespertilionidae. The transcript has 2 exons.